Molecule: ribosomal RNA, 463 nt
Filed under: uncultured bacterium
Lineage: Bacteria
Description: partial 16S ribosomal RNA
Rfam family: Bacterial small subunit ribosomal RNA
Source: RNAcentral
GAUGAACGCUGACAGAAUGCUUAACACAUGCAAGUCUUUGGCGAAGCUGUGCUUGCACAGCCUAGCCAAGGCGGACGAGUGAGUAACGCGUAAGGAACUUGCCCUGCAGUCAGGGAUAACAGACGGAAACGACUGAUAAGACCUGGUAAAGUCAGGCGGACUCAUGUCCAGCCUGAUGAAAAGAGAUGCUGCAGGAGAGCCUUGCGUCCUAUUAGCUUGUUGGUGGGGUAACGGCCCACCAAGGCGAUGAUAGGUAGCCGGCCUGAGAGGGUGGACGGCCACAAGGGGACUGAGAUACGGCCCUUACUCCUACGGGAGGCAGCAGUGGGGAAUAUUGGACAAUGGGGGCAACCCUGAUCCAGCAAUUCUGUGUGCACGAUGAAGGUUUUCGGAUUGUAAAGUGCUUUCAGCAGGGAAGAAAAAAAUGACGGUACCUGCAGAAGAAGCGACGGCUAAAUACGUG